This 268-nucleotide unclassified non-coding RNA is filed under the name plant metagenome. RNAcentral's name for it is "partial contains small subunit ribosomal RNA, internal transcribed spacer 1, and 5.8S ribosomal RNA". The record is from RNAcentral.
UUUCCGUAGGUGAACCUGCGGAAGGAUCAUUAAUGAGUUGUCAUGGGGUUCGAUGCUGCAGCCAAUUUUUGGAUGCAUGUGCUUGCCCUAACAAUCAUCUUCCAAACACCUGUGCACAUUUUUGAGGGAGUCUUGAGUUGGUUGCCGCUCUUGGGUGAUUUUCUCACAUUCCCUUAAAUCAUUAUACGCUAUUAACAAUGUUGAACGUGCUCUGUGCCGCAAGGCUAUUAAUAUAAUACAACUUUUAACAACGGAUCUCUUGGCUCUC